This 479-nucleotide ribosomal RNA is filed under the name uncultured bacterium. RNAcentral's name for it is "bacterial SSU rRNA". It matches the Rfam family "Bacterial small subunit ribosomal RNA", at positions 30 to 507 of the family's 1533-position model. The record is from RNAcentral.
AUUGAACGCUGGCGGCAUGCCUUACACAUGCAAGUCGAACGGCAGCACGGGAGCAAUCCUGGUGGCGAGUGGCGAACGGGUGAGUAAUGUAUCGGGACGUACCUUUCAGGUGGGGAUAACGUAGCGAAAGUUACGCUAAUACCGCAUAUUCUGUGAGCAGGAAAGCAGGGGAUCGCAAGACCUUGCGCUGAUUGAGCGGCCGAUAUCAGAUUAGCUAGUUGGUGAGGUAAAGGCUCACCAAGGCGACGAUCUGUAGCGGGUCUGAGAGGAUGAUCCGCCACACUGGAACUGAGACACGGUCCAGACUCCUACGGGAGGCAGCAGUGGGGAAUUUUGGACAAUGGGCGAAAGCCUGAUCCAGCCAUGCCGCGUGAUAGAUGAAGGCCCUCUGGGUUGUAAAUAUCUUUUAUCUGGGAAGAAACUCCUCUAUUCUUAGAGGCCUGACGGUACCAGAGGAAUAAGCACCGGCUAACUCCGUG